UUUUGUGCCGCGGGGCUUCAAGGAGCCCGGGAGCAGAACCUGAAAGCGCAAAGUUCCUCCGGUUGGAGCUGGGGUGUUCCAAUGCUCCGAGCAGCGGUCUGUGAGAGCCACUUCGCCGCUCACAGAAGAGCGAAGGAAAGUGGGAGAGGGGAGAAGGAAAGUUCACCUCCCGAGCCGUGCCCACCCGUGUUCAAAACCCGCCCCGACGGCUGCUGCUGAGGGGAGAGGCCGGGGCCGCGGCCGCCAUUCCGGGGCCGCUCGCACCUGAGGAGCGAGGUGGCCUGCAUUGUGUGUUAUUGCAAUGAAAAAUUCAAGAUGCCAUUGUACAAGAGAAAUAUCACUUAAGCAGCUGAUGUCAGAUGUUAGAGACAUAGCAGUUGAGACUGGACAGAAAUAGUUCCUAAAGAACACCAUUGCAUCAAACAAUCUAUAAAUUAUAAGCGCCGCCUGACAUCUGGUGGCUGUGGCAGCCACAGCGGCAUUCCUGGGAACCGGCGCCCGGCGGGGGCACCUCGGGCCGUGACCCGCAGCGGAGCUUGCGCUUUAAAAGAGGAGAAAGCAGAGAGAAAGUAGAAGUAAGGCAGAAGUUAUUUUACUGUGCAAGUUAAAUAAGUCUUUGAGG
Long non-coding RNA from Calypte anna (Anna's hummingbird), 622 nucleotides. RefSeq lists it as uncharacterized. The record is from RefSeq and is a predicted model, not a curated record. NCBI's taxonomy places the organism in Eukaryota, Metazoa, Chordata, Aves, Apodiformes, Trochilidae. The transcript is spliced from 4 exons.